RNAcentral lists this ribosomal RNA (731 nucleotides) under Salmonella enterica subsp. enterica serovar Enteritidis. RNAcentral's name for it is "partial 23S ribosomal RNA". It matches the Rfam family "Bacterial large subunit ribosomal RNA", at positions 1 to 623 of the family's 2925-position model. Lineage: Bacteria; Pseudomonadati; Pseudomonadota; Gammaproteobacteria; Enterobacterales; Enterobacteriaceae. The record is from RNAcentral.
GGGUUGUGAGGUUAAGCGACUAAGCGUACACGGUGGAUGCCCUGGCAGUCAGAGGCGAUGAAGGGCGUGCUAAUCUGCGAUAAGCGCCGGUAAGGUGAUAUGAACCGUUAUAACCGGCGAUACCCGAAUGGGGAAACCCAGUGUGACUCGUCACACUAUCAUUAACUGAAUCCAUAGGUUAAUGAGGCGAACCGGGGGAACUGAAACAUCUAAGUACCCCGAGGAAAAGAAAUCAACCGAGAUUCCCCCAGUAGCGGCGAGCGAACGGGGAGGAGCCCAGAGCCUGAAUCAGCAUGUGUGUUAGUGGAAGCGUCUGGAAAGGCGCGCGAUACAGGGUGACAGCCCCGUACACAAAAGCGCAUGUGCUGUGAGCUCGAUGAGUAGGGCGGGACACGUGGUAUCCUGUCUGAAUAUGGGGGGACCAUCCUCCAAGGCUAAAUACUCCUGACUGACCGAUAGUGAACCAGUACCGUGAGGGAAAGGCGAAAAGAACCCCGGCGAGGGGAGUGAAAAAGAACCUGAAACCGUGUACGUACAAGCAGUGGGAGCCCCACCACCAAAGCAUUUGCUGUACCGCGUUGACGGAGCGAAGCGACGUCAAACCGAUAAAACAGCAGUGUAAAGUGAGCCGCAGGGCGCUUUGCGCGACAGCGCAAAGGCAGGCGGUUUCGCGUAGCGAAAGCGAAUGCUUUGGGGUGGGGUGACUGCGUACCUUUUGUAUAAUGGGUCAG